This 216-nucleotide unclassified non-coding RNA is filed under the name Hevea brasiliensis (rubber tree). Lineage: Eukaryota; Viridiplantae; Streptophyta; Magnoliopsida; Malpighiales; Euphorbiaceae. The record is from RNAcentral.
AAAAAUUUAACCAUCUUCACGAAAACCAGAAAGUAGCAUUUGUUCCCCAAAAGUUGCAUGGAUCCUUCAACCUUUAAGUCGUCUCCCGAAUUGCAGCAACUUCUCAAUCAAGAGAAGGAAAGGGCCAUGGUCAAUGAAGUAGUUGCAAAGCUUACAAGUUCCUGCUGGGACAAAUGCGUGACUGGUACUCCCGGAAGCAAGUUCAGCUCCAGUGAA